RNAcentral lists this ribosomal RNA (161 nucleotides) under uncultured soil bacterium. Its description in RNAcentral is "partial 16S ribosomal RNA". It matches the Rfam family "Bacterial small subunit ribosomal RNA", at positions 26 to 180 of the family's 1533-position model. The record is from RNAcentral.
AGAGUGAACGCUGGCGGCAGGCUUAAUACAUGCAAGUCGAACGGCAGCACGGCAGAGCUUGCUCUGUGGGUGGCGAGUGGCGGACGGGUGAGGAAUACAUGGGAAUCUGCCCAGUCGUGGGGGAUAACGUAUGGAAACGUACGCUAAUACCGCAUGCGCCC